Gallus gallus (chicken) is the source of this 61-nucleotide microRNA precursor. The record is from Ensembl. Lineage: Eukaryota; Metazoa; Chordata; Aves; Galliformes; Phasianidae.
UAAGUGCUGGCCGUUGUCCUCUUAAGUACCUGUACUUAGAGGACAAUGGCCAAUACUUGCU